This 238-nucleotide unclassified non-coding RNA is filed under the name Hevea brasiliensis (rubber tree). Lineage: Eukaryota; Viridiplantae; Streptophyta; Magnoliopsida; Malpighiales; Euphorbiaceae. The record is from RNAcentral.
GAAAAACCUUGAAAGCAAAAUAUAUUGCAAUAACAAAUAUGUUGAACAAAUCUAGAUUUGGUUGGGAUGAAACAAAGAUACAAUGCGAGAAGAAUGUUUAUGAUGAAUGGUGCAAGAGCCAUAAUGAAGCCAAAGGAUUAUGAAAUGUAGCAUUUCCUUUAUUUGAUAUGAUUAGAGAGUUGGUGGGAAGGGACAGGGCAACUGGAAAAGGUGUUGAGACUUUUUAUGAUGCCAUAGA